GCUCCAAUAGCGUAUAUUUAAGUUGUUGCAGUUAAAAAGCUCGUAGUUGGAUUUCUGGCAGGACUCUAAUGUCCGCUCGUUGCGUGUGCAUAUGAGUCCUGCCAUCCUUCUGUUAACUGUUCUGGUAUUCGUUUACUGGUUCAGAGCCAGAUAUUUUACCUUGAGAAAAUUAGAGUGUUUCAGGCAGGCUUGCGCUUGAA
This 200-nucleotide ribosomal RNA is filed under the name uncultured eukaryote. RNAcentral describes it as "partial 18S ribosomal RNA". It matches the Rfam family "Eukaryotic small subunit ribosomal RNA", at positions 588 to 799 of the family's 1831-position model. The record is from RNAcentral.